AGAUCAAAAUGAUCUUUUUGUUCCUCAGUUACAACAUGAAGGGGAGAA
RNAcentral lists this transfer RNA (48 nucleotides) under Pterocomma salicis. RNAcentral's name for it is "partial tRNA-Leu". The record is from RNAcentral. Lineage: Eukaryota; Metazoa; Arthropoda; Insecta; Hemiptera; Aphididae.